AGUGGGGGAUCCUGAAGUAGGAAGAGGAUUUUUAACCCUAACAUAAGAGUUUACGUUUCUUUCCCAUUG
Molecule: transfer RNA, 69 nt
Filed under: Vargula hilgendorfii (sea firefly)
Lineage: Eukaryota; Metazoa; Arthropoda; Ostracoda; Myodocopida; Cypridinidae
Description: tRNA-Lys
Source: RNAcentral